This 67-nucleotide transfer RNA is filed under the name Liriomyza trifolii (celery leafminer). Its description in RNAcentral is "tRNA-Phe". Lineage: Eukaryota; Metazoa; Arthropoda; Insecta; Diptera; Agromyzidae. The record is from RNAcentral.
AUUCAAAUAGCUUAUAUUUAGAGUAUGACAUUGAAGAUGUUAUGGAAAUUGUUUUAAUCUUUGAAUA